Molecule: long non-coding RNA, 248 nt
Filed under: Octodon degus (degu)
Lineage: Eukaryota; Metazoa; Chordata; Mammalia; Rodentia; Octodontidae
Description: Prostate androgen-regulated transcript 1 conserved region 2 (ENSODEG00000025660.1)
Rfam family: Prostate androgen-regulated transcript 1 conserved region 2
Source: RNAcentral
UCUACUGCCGGGCUAUAAUCUAUGAAACUGAGCCCAGAUCCAGCCAAUCAGUUUGCUCCUCAUAACAAGUCUAACUGGCUUUGGAAAGCUGAAAGGGCUGCAGUGGAGCGGCAUAGAUAAUAUAUACCACACAACAAUCUGCUUAUCUGGAAUCACUCUGCCUGGAAAAGCCAGAAGGAAUCACGGCUUCAUUCUCCGAAGGAAGGAGGACCGGUGAUCUGGCAAAACCACAUCUGAACGUGGAACAA